ACCAGCGUCCGCGACAGCAACUUCCUCUGCUUCUCAAUCCUUAUACACCCCAGCCGUACCUCGAACACAUUGAACCAAGGCCUCCUCCCCACCCAGCCAAUAGAAGCUCUCACAUCUCGCACUCCAACGAGGACUGCUCAGCUCGCAUCGGCAUUUUGGGUCUCUAGAAGCUGCCGGUUGCUCAAGUGUCUCUACCCACGUGAUUGUCGUCGGAUCGAGAUUACUGUUGGCUUAUCCUCUCUGCUCCGAUGUUAGCUUUCAUCCCUCCAAAAAUUGAGUUAAGCUCUCUUGUCCCAGCCUGGUCAACAACAAUCAACACAGUAGGUGCCCUUUAUCUUCUAAGAUGGCUAGAAAAGGUCGUUACAUGAAAAAACUGAAAUUAGGACCAGGGUGUCAGCAACCACAAAUGGCUCCGCCUCUGGUCUCGGCUUCCUACCGCGAUGACUCUCAAAUUCUCCCAGACAGUGGUGAUAGUAUCCCUACAGCUUCACGCACGUUCCUUCUGCCGCGCAGUGUACCUAGGCCUGCUCUACAAAUGAGCACAAAUAAUAUUCAGAACUCGGAGCCAGGCCACGUAAACUUAGCAGCUAAUGCUAAUGAUGUAGAUUCUGUUGAUCAAGAAGCUGAUGACCCCUUUGUUGAUUCUAGAGCUCAAAAUCUCAAAGGACGCAAAACUACAGAGUUUUGGGAGGUUAAGAUCAUCGAUUUCGAUGGCAUAAUCAAGCCGGCAAGACUAAGCGUGAGAGAGGCUAUGGAACGGCCUAACGGUAGAAAGAUCGUGCUCAGGUUCAACAAUGCAAAGCAAGCAAUUGGAAAUGAAACUGGACUGUUAGUGGCGUACUUGGUCUGCUAGGAUCUGACUUUGAAAAAUUUUCUGAGAAAAGUUGGUGUAAGAUUACCACUAAAGACAAGGUUUAUAACGAGUGUGUCAAGCAAAUUUUCCACUUUGAUGAAGAUAGCGAAGGAACUAUCAAAAAAAUAUUUUGAAAAGUAUGGGGAAGUCUUGGAAGGAAACAAGACUGAGGUUGUAUAAUGCUUUUUACGAGCCAACAUUCAUGACUAAAUAAAUAUUAAGCACCGUUUGCCGGGAAUCGAUCGGGAGCAUUGGAGAUGGUUCCUUGAUUAUCGCGCCAAAGCUGAGAUGAAGGAAAAGUGCAGAAAAAACGUGAGGAUUCGAUCAAAACAACUAUAUACCCAGACUGGCGGUUUGAAAAGCUUUGCACGGCGGAUGGAAGAAGAGUCGGAACAACAAGGGAGAAGAGUCGGUAGAGGAGAGUUCUGGAUCACAGUGCACAAAAAAAAUCUGGCUCCUAUAUCAAUGAUGAAGCAAGAGCAAUUGGUAAAAGAAUUGAGGAGAUUGAGUAACAAGAUGAGUCAUCUAGAGUGUUGUCUCAAAAUGAUUCCAUUGCUCAGGUUUUCAGAAAAGAGAAACCGGGUAGAGUACGUGGUAUGGGUUUUGAACCGACUCCUAGUCAACUCUUCAGUCCGAAUUCACAUGCGCCUAGCAACGAAGUCUAACUAAUGGAGACCCAGAGGAAGCUGCUUGAACUGCAGGUAGAGUUGGAAGGCGAAAAGUUGAAUAGGAAGGCAAUGGAGGAUGAGGCAGCAGCAGAGAAGAAAAAGAUGAAGGCAAUGGAGAGUGCUCUGAUUUAUCUGUUUCAACGGCAAGGUGAGGAGCUGCCACCAGACAUCGCUGCAGGGAUGAGUUUCGUGGAAUGAUAGAGUGAAAAAUAGAAUAUUAGGAUUAGAGAUAUUUUGGAUUGAAGCAAACAUUUUAUUGAAUUAGA
Arachis stenosperma is the source of this 1787-nucleotide RNA transcript. RefSeq lists it as uncharacterized. Lineage: Eukaryota; Viridiplantae; Streptophyta; Magnoliopsida; Fabales; Fabaceae. The transcript has 8 exons. The record is from RefSeq and is a predicted model, not a curated record.